ACCGGAAACGGAGGAGAGCGCGGGGGAUGUGUUUGGCAUGGGGACGCACUGUUACAGUUGCGCUCCUGGUUGGCUUUGUGUUUCCGCGGUGUUGGUAGAGUCUCGGUGUUUCUACCUCUUAGCACCCUUUCCUGCCACCCUUUGUCCUGUGGAAGCCCGGAGACAUCAGCGGCUGCAAUUUUGCUACUCGCUGCUCGGCAUGGAACGGUCAGGUACCGCAGUUCAGCGCUCUUGGCCCCGCAGGUCCUCGGGCAUCCCCGUGCCCCGUGCUGUACAUUCAGUUAUCCUCCGACUUCCCGGGGUCGAAGGACAAAAAAUAAUAUCCAAAGAUAUUUUGGCACUAACAGCGCUAUCUGUAGCAAGAAAGUUGAGCAGUGUGAACUGUUGAGACUUCCAAGAAGACUUCAGAGAACCAAGACAGUGUAAAGGAAAACAGGAAAAAAGACUUGUUAGACAUUAUUAAGGGCACGAAAGUUGAAUUGAGCACAGUAAAUGUACAAACAACAAAGCCACCCAACAGAAGUCCACUUAAAAGCUACAACUGGCCCGCCUCAAAGAGCUACAGAGCAUGCUCCAAAGAAGAGAAAUGAGCCCGUGAGUCCUGAGUUGGUGGCAGCUGCAUCUGCUGCUCUGUUUUGACAAGCAAACAAGCCAGAACUGCUCAGGCAGCUCCGUAGCAUGAGGAAGAGUCAGGGGCACAGAGAGAUGGAGAGAGACCUAGUUAGAGAGCGAACCAUGUGCUGGAUUUAGCCAGUCCUGCAUUUUUCUAUACUUCAAAUCAAAACGGGCCAUGCUUCACAUCUACCCAUGAUGAAUAGGGGUACUUUGAUUAAGAAUAAAUAGAGCUGACUGAAUUCUGAACAAGAAAAACAUAUUCAAGGGGAAGAGAUGUAAUAGUUUUGACGUGACGACAGUUACUAAAGAAGCACCUGAACAGACACAUCACCUUCACUUUGGGAUGUGGAAUUUGCUAAAUAAGCCACAGAAAAUGAACAUCCCUUCAGAAUGGGUUUGAAGAGCUGAUCCAGUGGAUUAAAGAGGGGAAACUGGGAGUUUCCAAUUAACAAUGAAGCAGGAGCUGACUAAGGCUUUGGAACAGAAACCAGAUGAUGCACAAUAUUAUUGUCAAAGAGCUUAUUGUCACAUUCUUCUUGGGAGUUACUAUGUUGCUGUUGCCGACACAAAGAAGUCUUAUGAACUCAAUCCAAAUAAUUCCACUGCUAUGCUGAGAAAAGGGGGCUGGCGGCAUGGAGUCUUGCUCUGUCACCCAUCCUCGAGUGCAAUGGCACCAUCUUAGUUCACUGCAGCCUUGAAUUCCAGGGCUCGAGCCAUCCUUCUGCCUCUGCCUCCUGAGUAGGUGGGACUACAGGCAUGUGCCACCAUACUGAGCUAAUUUGUUAAACACUUUUUUUGUAGAGACGAGGUCUUGCUACGUUUCCCAGACUGGUCUCUGAACUCCCGGCCUCAAGUGAUCCUACUGCCUUGGCCUCCCAAAGUACUGGCAUAAUAGACAUGAGCCACUGCACCUGGCUCCUAAGUUCUUUUCUUGAAUAAUAUCUUUCUUUUUUUUUAUUUUUUGAGGUGGAGUCUCACCCUGUUGCCCAGGCUGGAGUGCAAUGGCGUGAUCUCGGCUCACUGCAACUUCUACCUCCCGGGUUCAAGUGAUUCUCCUGCCUCAGCCUCCUGAAUAGCUAGGAUUACAGGCGUGCGCUACCACGCCUGGCUAAUUUUUUGUGUCUUUAGUAGAGAUGCGGUUUCACCAUGUUGGCCAGGCUUGUCUCGAACUCUUGACCUCGUGAUCCACCCGCCUUGGCCUCCCAAAGUGUUGGGAUUACAGGCGUGAGCCACCACGCCUGGCCAAGUAAUAUCUUAAUAUCAUGCCAUUGACAUUUAUCCUCUAAUUAUUUCAGAGGUGGCCUUCAGAAGAAGGCCUCUUUGGUAAAAUUGCUAUUGAGGAUAUUUCACUGAAAAACAAAUUUAUCUUUAAAUUUAAAUCCAGGAAAAAUUUAAACUUUCAGGCUUCUAUUUUUAUCAGACAGGGUAAAAAAUUUAUAACUCAGAAUAUUACCCUUUCCCCUCUUUGUGUGAUGGAUUGCUUGGUUUUAGUUACUGAUUAUUUAAAAUAAUAAGUUAUUCAAAUCUAGGAUUUUGAUACAAUAGUUCUUCUCUAGAAUAUAGUGUGUGUGUGAGAGUAUAUUUAAAAUUUUUAUUAAGGCCCAUGGGGCAGCCUUUGAGGAAACCAGACCUUGGGGAUCGCCAGGCAGGAUUAGUGGCAGGAAUUGAGAGAACAGAGCCCCACAGAGCUCCUCGGGGACCGUCCCCCAGUCACAAGAGUAUCUCAAGGAAGUAGUCUUCUCCCACAUCCCCCAAAGAUAACUACCAGAGGGUCAGUUCUCUGAGCCCUUCUCAGUGUAGAAAAGACAAGUGUCAAAGCUUCCCCACUCACCCUGAGUUUGCCUUCUAUGACAAUACGUCGUUUGGCCUCACUGAGGCUGAGCAGAGGAUGCUGGACCUCCCAGGAUAUUUUGGGUCAAAUGAAGAGGAUGAAACCACAAGUACACUUAGCGUGGAGAAGCUGGUGAUCUAGACUGAGAAUCAGCCUGAGCUUAACACAGCUGGGGUCUGCUACUCGCGUUUUGUAGACUUUUGUGUAACUAUUUGUACCGUAGGACAGAAUGUGAGGAGGAAGUAACACACACAGAGGAGGAUGUGUGUGUGUGCAUGUGUUUGAAUUCACAAGGAAGAAAUUAUUUAUCUUGAGCUUUUUCCUUUGUUAUUCAGUUUUUAUUGGUUUAUUACUAAUAAUGAUAAUAAAAUGUAAACAAGAGCAAA
RNAcentral lists this long non-coding RNA (2832 nucleotides) under Homo sapiens (human). Its description in RNAcentral is "PREDICTED lncRNA (TCONS_00070801)". The record is from RNAcentral. Lineage: Eukaryota; Metazoa; Chordata; Mammalia; Primates; Hominidae.